This 224-nucleotide long non-coding RNA is filed under the name Mytilus galloprovincialis (Mediterranean mussel). Lineage: Eukaryota; Metazoa; Mollusca; Bivalvia; Mytilida; Mytilidae. The record is from RNAcentral.
CCCGCUCAGCAUAGGAAGAAACUGUAAAAGGCACUGGUUGUAAUUCCAAAUUUACUCUACAAAAUCAACUGCUCCAUUUUAAAAAGCUAAAAUCUGCUUUGAAAUUUAAUUAGAUGACAAACAAACCUCCAUCCCACCAACAUUAACAUUGACUUAGAUGUAAAACAUGUGAUUAGAUGAUCUUAAAUACUGAUCCAGAAUUAUGGAAAAGGGGGGCCAAACAA